UAAUACAUGGGGUGCAAACGUUGCUCGGAAUUAUUGGGCGUAAAGCGCACGUAGGCGGUUUGUUAAGUCGGAUGUGAAAUCCCUCGGCUCAACUGAGGAAGUGCAUCCGAAACUGGCAAGCUUGAGUACGAAAGAGGGUCGCGGAAUUCCCGGUGUAGGGGUGAAAUUCGUAGAUAUCGGGAGGAACACCGGUGGCGAAGGCGGCGACCUGGGUCGAUACUGACGCUGAGGUGCGAAGGCGUGGGGAGCAAACAGG
This 256-nucleotide ribosomal RNA is filed under the name uncultured prokaryote. RNAcentral describes it as "partial 16S ribosomal RNA". It matches the Rfam family "Bacterial small subunit ribosomal RNA", at positions 521 to 776 of the family's 1533-position model. The record is from RNAcentral.